Asparagus officinalis (garden asparagus) is the source of this 694-nucleotide long non-coding RNA. RefSeq lists it as uncharacterized. NCBI's taxonomy places the organism in Eukaryota, Viridiplantae, Streptophyta, Magnoliopsida, Asparagales, Asparagaceae. The transcript has 4 exons. The record is from RefSeq and is a predicted model, not a curated record.
GUCAAGAUGCUUUUAUUUAAGAUUAUUCAAGCUGCUUUGACUGCUGUUGGAGCCCCAGACAACCUGGUUCAUGUGAUAACAUGGUUUACAGAAACAAGACAAGCUCUUGUUUCGUCAGUUGACAAAAUCAUUUUUGUUGGAUCACCUGGUGUGGGGAAAAUGAACUAGUGUGGUGAUUCAACUUUAAUUUUCUCAGUUAGGGCAGAUAAUUUGUUCUCUUUAGUGAAGAUUGGUAAUAAGCAAACCCUUCACUUUCAGACAUUGAGAUAGUUGAGAAAAUCUGGGGGAAACAAUCUUAUGGUCACAUCAUUGUAUGUGGUGGUGGGACUACUUUGAAAGAUUUGAGAGGACCGCUCCCUAAUCGAUCUGAUCUGGAAGCAUGGGUUAUAGAAGAAAAGAAAAAGAACCAGAUGGUUCAACAAUGCUUAGAUGAGCAGGAGCAACAACAACAAAUGAUGUCUGAGUUGGAGUCACAAGUGAAAGCUAUGCAAGAACUUUUUUUAGGCAAUCACCUUCAUCGACUCCUUAAACUCGAGAAUAUGUGCAUGACUAGGCUAUCCACGCAAGAUUAGGAGAGGUGGGGUAGCUCGAGUCUUCUUUUGACGAUGAUUAGAGAUGAAAGAAUGUGUCUUCCCUAAACUUUUAUUUUAAUUUGUUAUAAAUAGUUUCAUGUAUUUUUCUUUGGAACAAUUAG